RNAcentral lists this ribosomal RNA (775 nucleotides) under uncultured Neocallimastigales. RNAcentral describes it as "partial large subunit ribosomal RNA". It matches the Rfam family "Eukaryotic large subunit ribosomal RNA", at positions 20 to 644 of the family's 3401-position model. Lineage: Eukaryota; Fungi; Neocallimastigomycota; Neocallimastigomycetes; Neocallimastigales. The record is from RNAcentral.
UACUAGAGUAGCACUCGCAUAUCAAUAAGCGGAGGAAAAGAAACUAACAAGGAUUCCCUUAGUAACGGCGAGUGAAGCGGGAAGAGCUCAAAUUUGAAAUCUUCAAGGUUUUACCUUGACGAAUUGUAGUUUAUAGAAGUGUUUUCUGUUGAAGUUUGGGUAAAAGUUCUUUGGAAUAGGACAUCAUAGAGGGUGAGAAUCCCGUAUUUGACCAUUAUUUUCAGCUGUGUGAUACACUUUCAAAGAGUCGGAUUGUUUGGGAAUGCAGUCCAAAAUGGGUGGUAAAUUUCAUCUAAAGCUAAAUAUUGGCGAGAGACCGAUAGCGAACAAGUACCGUGAGGGAAAGAUGAAAAGAACUUUGAAAAGAGAGUUAAACAGUACGUGAAAUUGUCAAAAGGGAAGCGUUUGACACCAGUGUUGUUUUUCCGAAAAUCAAUUACGAAUGUUUUAUUUUUGAGGAGUUAUGACUUCAUCGGCUUGCUCCUUUCUUUAUGAAACUUUCUUAAUGCACUUUUCGGUUAACAAGUCAACAUCAAUUUCUUUUGUUGUAAAAGGGUAUGAGGAAGGUGGCUUUCUUUUCGGAGAAAGUGUUUAUAGCCUUGUGCCUCUGCAAUCGGAGAGAUUGAGGUCUGCAGCGUAGAUCCUUCGGGGUUAGAUACGUUUGUGCUAAGUUAUAGCUUUUCAUAGACAACUUGUUGACUAUAUUUAGUCUUGUAGGCUUACUCGCUGAUGCUAUUUUACCUACGCUUAGGAUGUUGAUAGUCACAGCGUGUAC